GACUGGAUGGGGGCGGCGGGCGUGGCAUGCAUGAAAAGUAAACAUCAGAGACCUGAAGAAGCUUAUAAAAUAGCUUGGGAGAGGCCAGUCACCAAGACAGGCAUCUCAAAUCGGCUGAUUCUGCAUCUGGAAACUGCCUUCAUCUUGAAAGAAAAGCUCCAGGUCCCUUCUCCAGCCACCCAGCCCCAAGAUGGUGAUGCUGCUGCUGCUGUUUUCCGCACUGGCUGGCCUCUUCGGUGCGGCGGAGGGACAAGCAUUUCAUCUUGGGAAGUGCCCCAAGCCUCCGGUGCAGGAGAAUUUUGACGUGAAUAAGUAUCUCGGAAGAUGGUACGAAAUUGAGAAGAUCCCAACAACCUUUGAGAAUGGACGCUGCAUCCAGGCCAACUACUCACUAAUGGAAAACGGAAAGAUCAAAGUGUUAAACCAGGAGUUGAGAGCUGAUGGAACUGUGAAUCAAAUUGAAGGUGAAGCCACCCCAGUUAACCUCACAGAGCCUGCCAAGCUGGAAGUUAAGUUUUCCUGGUGUAAGUAUCCACUUUUCCCAGGAGGAUUCAGGGACAGGAAAUAUGCAAACUGAAGGCUAGCGCCCCGGCUUGGAGAAUUCCUGAGACACCUGAGUGUCAUCUAUAAUCACUCAGCACAUAAUUAUCUGUCAAACACUUACUACAUGUCAUGCACUAGGGUUGCCAUGAUGAGCCGGACAGAGCUGGCCUUGGUACUUAUGGAGCUCACAUCCCAGUGUGGAUACUGACACGUGACCCCGCAAUUUACUAUAACUAGCUAGCGUUUCAACAGGUGAAACAUAAGUAGGUGCACACAGGGUGUGGGCUGCAGAAGACACAACCCAGUCUUGUUUCCCAAAGGAAACUGGGGCCCGAAACAUUAGCACAUAUUAGCAGAACAACCUGCACGGCGCAGAAACUAGGAAGCAAGAGAUGACAAGAGUGACGGCAAGUUUGAAUCCUGCUUCUGCCACUUUCCAGUCACAUUGUUGGGGAUCCUGUGAGAUACCUAAUGACAGGCAUUUGCCUCUGGGUUCUGAGCUAACUGAGGAAGGGACACAGGCAAUAGACAAAGCACCAAAUAUUAGUUUUAUUUCCGACGAAGAUACACUAGAGAGUUCAACCCAGAACCGUGAGGCUUUCUAACACGAAGAGUGCUUGAAAGCCCCUUUCCCACCUGCAGGGUAGACACUGAAGUCAUCAGCUAC
RNAcentral lists this small RNA (1210 nucleotides) under Pan troglodytes (chimpanzee). RNAcentral describes it as "retained intron". The record is from RNAcentral. Lineage: Eukaryota; Metazoa; Chordata; Mammalia; Primates; Hominidae.